AAGCAACACUCCGUGGCAGAUGAUCAAAACUGUCUGACACAAUUUGAGCUUGCUGUAGCAACAAAAUCUAACCUAUUCCAGUGCUCUCUCCUCUCUGAGACAUGCCAUUGUACAGACUUAAAGAGU
This is a small nucleolar RNA of Pteronotus mesoamericanus, 126 nucleotides long. RefSeq annotates it as small nucleolar RNA SNORA28. The record is from RefSeq and is a predicted model, not a curated record. Lineage: Eukaryota; Metazoa; Chordata; Mammalia; Chiroptera; Mormoopidae. The transcript has a single exon.